UAGCGUAUAUUAAAGUUGUUGCGGUUAAAAAGCUCGUAGUUGGAUUUCUGCUGAGAGCAGCCGGUCCACCUUUUGGGUGAGUAUCUGGAUUGGUCUUGGCAUCCUCUCGGAAAACGAUUCUGCGCUUCAUUGCGUGGUUCGGGGUUCGAGACUUUUACUUUGAGGAAAUUAGAGUGUUCACGGCAGGCAUACGCCUUGAAUAUAUUAGCAUGGAAUAAUACUAUAGGAUUUCGGUUCUAUUUUGUUGGUUUCUAGAGCUGAAAUAAUGAUUAAUAGGGACAAUUGGGGGCAUUCGUAUUGACGAGUC
Molecule: ribosomal RNA, 307 nt
Filed under: Amoebophrya sp.
Lineage: Eukaryota; Dinophyceae; Syndiniales; Amoebophryaceae
Description: SSU rRNA
Rfam family: Eukaryotic small subunit ribosomal RNA
Source: RNAcentral